GAUCUUAGUUAUAUAUAUCUCGAGAAAUUAAUCCCUGCAGUUCUCCAUAGUUAAUACAUUGGUGAUUGGAAGGAUUUUCUUAGAUCGUUUUCUGUUGCAAGAAGAAUUCACUCUUCAAUCUAGGAUCUUAUGGUUCUAUCAUUCUGUACCAAUACAUAUACAUCGGUAGUGAAUACACCUCUGAACAAAUUUUGGAAAUCGCAUAUGUUUUAGACAAUCAGAAUCUUGAUAACAUUCAAUAAGUACUGCAAUGAAAAAAGAAAGAAUGUUAAUAAAGAGCAUAUAAUAUAAGAUUAAGAUAGAAAGUUAUGAUGAAAAAUGACUUACUAUCGUUAGCAUUUGUUGCAACAAGAAAUACAGAAAGAAAAAUGAUGAUUUUAUAAACAAACUUAACAAUUUUAAUCAUAUUUGUUUUCCUUAUUUUGCAUUCAUGUUCAAAAAGGAGGUCACUUGAAAACCUCAAAUAUUAUAUGCUCAUGCUGUGAAAACCUCAAAUAAAUAAUUUUUGCACAUACAAAGUUGUAA
This 525-nucleotide long non-coding RNA is filed under the name Trifolium pratense (red clover). Its description in RNAcentral is "long non-coding RNA (TPRA_LNC000294)". The record is from RNAcentral. Lineage: Eukaryota; Viridiplantae; Streptophyta; Magnoliopsida; Fabales; Fabaceae.